GACGAACGCUGGCGGCGUGCUUAACACAUGCAAGUCGAACGGAAAGGCUCCAGCUUGCUGGAGUCCUCGAGUGGCGAACGGGUGAGUAACACGUGGGUAAUCUGCCCUGCACUCUGGGAUAAGCCUGGGAAACUGGGUCUAAUACUGGAUAUGACCUUUCUCCUUAUGGGGUUUGGUGGAAAGUUUUUCGGUGUAGGAUGAGCCCGCGGCCUAUCAGCUUGUUGGUGGGGUGAUGGCCUACCAAGGCGACGACGGGUAGCCGGCCUGAUAGGGUGAUCGGCCACAUUGGAACUGGGAUACGGCCCAGACUCCUACGGGAGGCAGCAGUGGGGAAUAUUGCACAAUGGGCGGAAGCCUGAUGCAGCGACGCCGCGUGGGGGAUGACGGCCUUCGGGUUGUAAACCUCUUUCAGCAGGGACGAAGCGUAAGUGACGGUACCUGCAGAAGAAGCACCGGCUAACUAUGUG
Molecule: ribosomal RNA, 467 nt
Filed under: uncultured bacterium
Lineage: Bacteria
Description: partial 16S ribosomal RNA
Rfam family: Bacterial small subunit ribosomal RNA
Source: RNAcentral